AUCCAACUGACGAGUCCCAAAUAGGACGACACAUGUGUCCUAGAU
Non-coding RNA from Schistosoma rodhaini, 45 nucleotides. Lineage: Eukaryota; Metazoa; Platyhelminthes; Trematoda; Strigeidida; Schistosomatidae. The record is from Rfam.